This 1044-nucleotide long non-coding RNA is filed under the name Oryctolagus cuniculus (rabbit). RNAcentral describes it as "lncRNA (ENSOCUG00000034805.1)". Lineage: Eukaryota; Metazoa; Chordata; Mammalia; Lagomorpha; Leporidae. The record is from RNAcentral.
CAGGCAGAGUGGACAGUGAGAGAGAGAGACAGAGAGAAAGGUCUUCCUUUUGCCGUUGGUUCACCCUCCAAUGGCCGCCGCUGCAGCCGGCGCACCGCGCUGAUCCUGGCAGGAGCCAGGAGCCAGGUGCUUUUUUCUGGUCUCCCAUGGGGUGCAGGGCCCAAGCACCUGGGCCAUCCUCCACUGCACUCCCUGGCCAUAGCAGAGAGCUGGCCUGGAAGAGGGGCGACCGGGACAGAAUCCGGCGCCCCAACCGGGACUAGAACCCGGUGUGCCGGCGCCGCAAGGUGGAGGAUUAGCCUAUUGAGCCACGGCGCCGGCCAAGAGUUCCAAGAUUCUAAUCAUAGCUUGGUCUCUAUUGCCAGCCCCCUUCAUCCUGUUAUCCAGGAGCCCAGCAAGAGUAAUUAUUACAGUAAAAGACUUUCCCAUCAACAGAGACAGUCCAAGGGAUUUAGGUACUCCAGAAGAAAUCUGGAUCAAGGAGAAAAUACUAGGAAAAAAAAAUAUGCUUCCAGAAUCCUUACCAGUCAGGAAAUUAUAAGGGUUUUAGGAGUUCUGCACCAAGAAAUGGAAGCAGAGACAAUAUAUGAGGUAGCUUUAACAAUUUUCUUUUUAACAUUUUAUUUAUUUGAAAGGCAUAAAUACCAAGAGAGAGCUAGAGGCACAGAGAGAGAGAGAGAGAGAGAGAGAGAGAGAGAGAGGAGAGCAAGGAGAGAAGAGAGAGAGAGGAGAGAAGAGAGGAGGAGAGAGAGAGAGAAGAGAGAGAGAGAGGAGAGGAGAAGAGAGAGAGAGAAGAGAGAAAAGAGAAGAGAGAGAGAGAGAGAGAGAGAGAGAGAAAAGAGAGAAGAGAGAGAGAGAGAAUCUUCCAUCUGCCAGUUCAGUUCCCAAAAGGCCACAAGGGCCAGGACUGACCCAGGCAGAAGAGAGGCCAGAAGCUUCCUCUGGGUCUCCAUGGGUGCAGGGCCCCAAGCACGUGGGCCAUCUCCACUGCCUUCCCAGGCCACAGCAGAGAGCUGGAUCGGAAGAGGAGCAGUCGGGACUUGA